AUUCCUUGUCGGGUAAGUUCCGACCUGCACGAAUGGCGUAACGACUUCCCCGCUGUCUCCAACAUCGACUCAGCGAAAUUGAAUUGCCUGUCAAGAUGCAGGCUUCCCGCGGUUAGACGGAAAGACCCCGUGCACCUUUACUACAGCUUCACACUGGCAUCAGGCACAACAUGUGCAGGAUAGGUGGUAGACUUUGAAGCAGGAACGCUAGUUCCUGUGGAGUCAUCCUUGAGAUACCACCCUUGUUCUGCUUGAUGUCUAACCGCGGUCCGUUAUCCGGAUCCGGGACCCUGUGUGGCGGGUAGUUUGACUGGGGCGGUCGCCUCCUAAAGCGUAACGGAGGCGCGCGAAGGUUGGCUCAGAGCGGUCGGAAAUCGCUCGUUGAGUGCAAUGGCAGAAGCCAGCCUGACUGCAAGACUGACAAGUCGAGCAGAG
Molecule: ribosomal RNA, 435 nt
Filed under: uncultured Amoebophrya
Lineage: Eukaryota; Dinophyceae; Syndiniales
Description: partial Bacterial large subunit ribosomal RNA
Rfam family: Bacterial large subunit ribosomal RNA
Source: RNAcentral